Molecule: ribosomal RNA, 280 nt
Filed under: uncultured bacterium
Lineage: Bacteria
Description: partial 16S ribosomal RNA
Rfam family: Bacterial small subunit ribosomal RNA
Source: RNAcentral
UGCCAGCAGCCGCGGUAACACGGGGGGGCGCAAGCGUUAUUCGGGAUUAUUGGGCGUAAAGGGCGCGCAGGUGGCUUGUCAAGCCAGAUGUGAAAGCCCCGGGCUUAACCUGGGAACUGCAUCUGGAACUGGUUGGCUAGAGUACGGUAGAGGGUAGUGGAAUUUCCUGUGUAGCGGUGAAAUGCGUAGAUAUAGGAAGGAACACCAGUGGCGAAGGCGACUGCCUGGACUGAUACUGACACUGAGGCACGAAAGCGUGGGGAGCAAACAGGAUUAGAUA